This is a long non-coding RNA of Ictalurus punctatus (channel catfish), 429 nucleotides long. NCBI's taxonomy places the organism in Eukaryota, Metazoa, Chordata, Actinopteri, Siluriformes, Ictaluridae. The record is from Ensembl.
GAUCAGUCUGCGAAUGAGGGCAACAACAGGACGCUUUCUAUACACAAAGAGACAGUUUCAACAACUUAUAGCCAAACAAUACUGUCUGAUCUCUGAAGAGAUUCAUUUGACUCGGAGUGGAUGUAGCUGGAUGGUUUGAGCUUAUUCAACGACGUCAUAAGAAAAGAAUUGCAGGCUCGGCCUGUCAGAGCCCAAUCCAGAGAGUGUGUGAUGGAAGCGUUCUGGCCCAUUUGCUUCACCUCAGCUGAAAUCAAAGCGAGCAGCGGCAGCAGUGUUCUGGGGCCCCUGGCACCCUGGAGAGAAGCCACGCAAAGCCUGCAUGAUCCAGCCCUGACAGCACACACAGCGGUUGAAGUCUGCAUCAUAUUAAACAAACCUAAAUGCUUCAAGCUGUUACACACUCCCUAAUGCAACAUUUAUGAAGGACCC